GGUUUGCUGCGCUUUCACCUUCCCAUUAAUGUUUUCCAUACACUCCCAUAACUAAGAAACAUACAGCCCUGAUUGCUGUUGGCAGACAUCUGCCGCUAUGGUAGAAAGCAGCCUGAGGACAAAAUUGUUAAGAGGAAAAAAGCAGAGCCCAGGCAGCCCCGGAGGAAUGAAGCUGGAACUCUGAUCAGUUAUCGGGAGAAGCAUUUUAACACUGACAUUGUUUGGAAUUGCCAGUGCAUGGUAAUAAUAAAAAGCAGUCAGUUGAGACCAGCCUGGGCAACAUGGCAAGACCCUAUUUAAAAAAAAAUACCCUACGAAAUCCAACAAAAAGCAUUCAGAAUUUUAGUUGGCUUCAUUCUUCCUCUUAUUGUCUGCUCCCAGGGUGAACUGCUCCUACUACCCUCAGCUAUGGAAUGCCACUAUUUGGGACUAAAAGAAAAGGGUCAAAGUUCAAAAUUUGUGAUUUGCUGCAGUCAUUUAUCCAUGCACUUUUUUACUCACUCUACACGUUCUCAAGGGCACUUGCUGUGUGCAAGGCACUGCAUUAGGUACUAGGAGUAAAUAUGGCAUGAGACUGAACCCAAAGAAUUAACAAUUGAGUGAGAGGUAUAGAUAAGAAAUUGAAGAGUAAAUACAUAACAACAGGGCUGCAACUGGGACAAAUAUGGGAAGCAAGGGAAAAGAACACCUCAGUUGGUUUAGGGCUUCCCAAAAGGGUGGCAUUGAAGCCAAGACCCAAUUACCUCCAUGCCUGGGAGCCAUGCCCAUGCUGACAUUGUUGACAGCCAUCCUGUCUCCUCCUUUCUGCUUUCACCAGGACGUAACUUGGGUUCCCAAAAGGCCACUAUCAUGCUUUCUGUUUCCUAUAUGACCUAGCACUGGGACUAUUAACCAGGUUUUGGUCUUCUGACAUCUCCUCUGUGCACUUCCAUUUUAUUCCCAC
RNAcentral lists this long non-coding RNA (943 nucleotides) under Pan troglodytes (chimpanzee). RNAcentral's name for it is "long non-coding RNA NONPTRT010673". The record is from RNAcentral. Lineage: Eukaryota; Metazoa; Chordata; Mammalia; Primates; Hominidae.